This 2872-nucleotide long non-coding RNA is filed under the name Jatropha curcas. RNAcentral's name for it is "long non-coding RNA (JCUR_LNC003220)". The record is from RNAcentral. Lineage: Eukaryota; Viridiplantae; Streptophyta; Magnoliopsida; Malpighiales; Euphorbiaceae.
AGCCAACCUUUCCCAGCCACAUUCCACUGCAAGAUCUCCUCUAGCAAUCAUCACUCCAAAGGGAUUUGAGGACUUCAUUGCCUCCAAUAACACCAAAGGCAAUUUCUCAAACCCACUCUUUGUCUCAAUCUUUAAAAUAACACCAAGGUUUUGAAGUUUCCGAUUUUCCAAUUCUUUGCGCAGCACAACAAUAUCAUGGGUGUCUCGGACAAAAGAAAUGCCUACCAUGUCAGAAUGAGUAGCAACAAACUCGAGGUCCACAAGAUCCUUUGAAGUAAGUCCUUCAAACCGAACAUUGCUAUCAGGAAUAUUAAAUGCUAUCCUUGCUAAUGGAUCAUUAAUGGCUGAGCUCCAUAUUUUAGGAAUUAAUGGUGACCUGGGGUAGUGAACUUGAUGAACUGAUUGUUGUGAAUAUAAUUGGGAUUUGUGAGAAUUUUGUAGUAUGUUGUUAUUGAAGAUCACUCUAAUAUUUCAGGUUCUUUUCCUAUUACCCUAAACCAACCAUUUUAUUGGCCAAAUACAUUUCAUGGAAGAAGGAAUUAAGAUAACGAAUUACUGUCUGAAUUGAAUUUCAAUUCCUCUCUCUAGAUUUUUAAUUUAUCUUCACUUCCUGGAUGUAUUUUUUGAAGGUACCAAUGUUUGAAAAGAUGGAUGAACAACUAUUAGAUGCUAUGUGUGACCGGCUCAAGCCAACACUCUAUACCAAAGAAAGUUACAUUGUUCGGGAAGGCGAUCCAGUUGACGAGAUGCUCUUCAUUAUGCGAGGCAAGCUUUUAACCAUGACCACCAAUGGCGGAAGAACUGGCUUCUUCAACUCUGAAUACCUGAAGGCUGGUGACUUUUGUGGAGAGGAAUUGCUUACAUGGGCCCUAGAUCCCCAUUCCUCAUCCAACCUUCCUAUCUCAACCAGAACCGUUCGAACCAUUACUGAAGUUGAAGCAUUUGCUCUAAUGGCUGAUGACUUGAAAUUUGUUGCUUCUCAAUUCCGGCGGCUUCACAGUAAGCAACUCCGCCACACUUUCAGGUUUUACUCGCAACAAUGGAGGACAUGGGCAGCCUGCUUUAUACAAGCUGCAUGGCGUCGAUAUAAUAAAAAGAAGCUGGAAGAAUCUCUGCAACAAGAGGAGGAUAGGUUGCAAGAUGCAUUGGCCAAGACAACUGGGAACUCACCGAGUUUAGGUGCCACCAUAUAUGCCUCACGAUUUGCUGCUAAUGCACUUCGUGCUCUACGGCGUACUGGUACUCGCAAGACAAGGUUGUUGGAGAGGGUUCCGCCCAUUUUGCUUCAGAAGCCUGCAGAACCUGAUUUUACAACUGGAGAAAGAUAGAUGUAGAAGACUAUUUGCUAUGAUAUUUUUUAUGUUUUAUUGUAAAUGUACAAAAAUGAAAUUAGAACUACUGUGGCCAAUGAAGAAAUGAAAAUAGGGGGGAGUUAGAGUUGCUUUGUUCAUAGUCGCAUUUUGUUGACCUUAUUGGUUGUUGUUUUGAGUGUUGUUGUGAAUUGUAAUGCAAAUUCAAUUACAGAAAUGCAAUUCAGUUUCCGUUUCUUUAAUUUGCUCCUUCCCUUCUGUCUCUUCUAUUUUCUCUUGCCAAUCAAUAGUUAGGUUGAUCUUAACAAAAGGUUGUGUUACGUUUAUCAUGUACAUGUUAAUCUGCAACUGUAUUUUUCUCAGCUUUUAUAUUGAGUUGGUUCAAAUUCAUCAUUUAUUGGCGAGCAACAUCAGGAAUCAUCUGGCGACACUAUCAAUUUCUGAAAAUAGAAAAGCAAGCUUGCAAUUGUCGGUAAGCAUUUCAAUAGGCAUCAGAACAAAAUAGUUUACCCGUGCAAUUUCAAAGAGGCUGGUCCAGUGGAGACAAGAAGUAUCAAUUGGACUCUUCAUAGAAGGUUUGGCUUGAAGAAAAGGAUACUAUUAAAAGCUUGUCUGAUGACUCAGAUAUCAAUCACAUUUGACUAUAUACAGAACUAGAGAUACGGAGAUAUUUACAGAACUAGAUAUGCGGAUACAGUUUUGAUCUCCCAAAUUCAAGAUCUUUUCUGCAAGUUGAAUGGAGACAUUCAUCAACUAAAACGGAGAAAAGGAACUUCACAAGAAGUGGCUACAGAGUAAAUUGGGCUUCAAGUCUGUUCUCACCCCUGCAGAGUUUGAAUGGAGGAUCUUAUCCAAAGUUGAAACAGCUUUGGUGAUGUGUUUCCCUUUGUUCAGCAUGACACAACUUGCUCUGUUAAGACGAAAAGGAAUCCUCAAUUCGUACUUUUGGAAAUAAAGAAAGAAAAAGCAUGAAAUUUGAAUUUAUAUUAAUGGCAUGAUCAGGGCAUGCGGAAUAUUUUACCUCCUUCCACUGGCUGCAUCAAUGAUCUCUGCUCGGGUGGGCACACCAGACUUCACAAGGGACUCUAAGACCUGAGUUGCCAAAAUGACAGGUACUUGAGCAGCAUCACAAAGAGAGAGAAUUUCUUCUUGCAUAUCAGCCAACCUUUCCCAGCCACAUUCCACUGCAAGAUCUCCUCUAGCAAUCAUCACUCCAAAGGGAUUUGAGGACUUCAUUGCCUCCAAUAACACCAAAGGCAAUUUCUCAAACCCACUCUUUGUCUCAAUCUUUAAAAUAACACCAAGGUUUUGAAGUUUCCGAUUUUCCAAUUCUUUGCGCAGCACAACAAUAUCAUGGGUGUCUCGGACAAAAGAAAUGCCUACCAUGUCAGAAUGAGUAGCAACAAACUCGAGGUCCACAAGAUCCUUUGAAGUAAGUCCUUCAAACCGAACAUUGCUAUCAGGAAUAUUAAUGGAUUUCUCAGACCCAAGUUUUGUGCCUUUGGGACCGGCAUGAGUGAUUGAGACAACAAUCUCUGAUAUACCUGUUCCUCGGAUAACUC